This is a long non-coding RNA of Hibiscus syriacus, 1110 nucleotides long. RefSeq lists it as uncharacterized. The transcript has 2 exons. Lineage: Eukaryota; Viridiplantae; Streptophyta; Magnoliopsida; Malvales; Malvaceae. The record is from RefSeq and is a predicted model, not a curated record.
UCUUAUAAGAGUGAGUUGUAGUAUCUUGUUUUUGAGUGAGAGUGCUAUUGUAAUAUUUGUUUGAGUUUCAAUAAAAAUUGUUUGUAUGAGUGUUUCAUUUCCAACAUAAAGUUUGUGUGUUUAAUUGGCCUUCCAUCAGUUCGCUAAUCUUUGAGAGAACUGAAGAACGGUGACCACCAUGGUGGAAGAACUAGGGUUAGAUCUGUAUAUUUAAGUCUUUUUGAGUAAUACAGUCAGUUAAUCAGAACUGUAAACUAGAAUAUCUGCUCUCAUUUUAUAAAGAAAAUGAUUCAGGUAUCAAGGCACAGCUGCAGCAGAACCUAACGCAUGUAGCUAAAAUCGCAGAUGCACAAGCACAGGGAUCAACAUCCCAGGUUGUCCUGGAGAUUUCUUCGGUUUAAUAACUUUCGAUUAAGCAACUUGCGUUUCAUUUAUUUGAACUCAUUUGUGAAACAUUGACGAUGCCUACGCAAUCCACAACGCAGCAAGAACAACAUGUGCAGUCCUCACAAGCUGUAAUAGAUAAGCAGCAUCCAGAUUUCUUAGCUUCAAAAGUGCUUUUCCAUGUGAACGAUCAGCAGCUGCAGCAGUAAUCAGAGCAAUCAAUAUAUCUCCAACAGCAGCAACUGAACCAGCCACAAGUGGGGAGAAGAUCUGCUGCCGCUGGUGGCACUUAUCAUGGGGGUCAAGCUGGGAUAGGUAACAAUGUCAUGAAAUUCGAGGAAACGAACAAGAUAAGCUCGGAAGAUGGAGCGGGUGAAGGCUUUAGAAACUUUGCCUAUGGGCAACGCUAGGUAGAGUGAAAUCAUGACCAACACCGAUACCACGGUGUUCAUAUUGUGUAGAGCUCUUCGGGUAGUUCUCUGCCUCUAUUUAUCUGUUUUUAUUUUGCUGAUUUUCAUUUCGGUACCAUGAAAAAUGUGGAGAUAACGGUAGGUGCAUACAUGUGGAGGGCUAACUUGGUUCAUUUGUCAUCUCUUUGGUUUAGUUGCUUUUCACCUGGAAUCUCACGGUAAUAUAUUUUCUAUUAGUGAUUCAAAUCAUGGUAUCUUACAUGUAAGGCAGAAGUAAUCUUCGCAUGAUUAAAUAAUAACUCAGAAUUGAGGUAAA